RNAcentral lists this ribosomal RNA (1700 nucleotides) under Salmonella enterica subsp. enterica serovar Paratyphi A. RNAcentral's name for it is "bacterial SSU rRNA". It matches the Rfam family "Bacterial small subunit ribosomal RNA". Lineage: Bacteria; Pseudomonadati; Pseudomonadota; Gammaproteobacteria; Enterobacterales; Enterobacteriaceae. The record is from RNAcentral.
UCNNNNNNNNNNNNNNNNNNNNGACGAAAAAUGAAUACCAAGUCUCAAGAGUGAACACGUAAUUCAUUACGAAGUUUAAUUCAUUGAGCAUCAAACUUUUAAAUUGAAGAGUUUGAUCAUGGCUCAGAUUGAACGCUGGCGGCAGGCCUAACACAUGCAAGUCGAACGGUAACAGGAAGCAGCUUGCUGCUUUGCUGACGAGUGGCGGACGGGUGAGUAAUGUCUGGGAAACUGCCUGAUGGAGGGGGAUAACUACUGGAAACGGUGGCUAAUACCGCAUAACGUCGCAAGACCAAAGAGGGGGACCUUCGGGCCUCUUGCCAUCAGAUGUGCCCAGAUGGGAUUAGCUUGUUGGUGAGGUAACGGCUCACCAAGGCGACGAUCCCUAGCUGGUCUGAGAGGAUGACCAGCCACACUGGAACUGAGACACGGUCCAGACUCCUACGGGAGGCAGCAGUGGGGAAUAUUGCACAAUGGGCGCAAGCCUGAUGCAGCCAUGCCGCGUGUAUGAAGAAGGCCUUCGGGUUGUAAAGUACUUUCAGCGGGGAGGAAGGUGUUGUGGUUAAUAACCGCAGCAAUUGACGUUACCCGCAGAAGAAGCACCGGCUAACUCCGUGCCAGCAGCCGCGGUAAUACGGAGGGUGCAAGCGUUAAUCGGAAUUACUGGGCGUAAAGCGCACGCAGGCGGUCUGUCAAGUCGGAUGUGAAAUCCCCGGGCUCAACCUGGGAACUGCAUUCGAAACUGGCAGGCUUGAGUCUUGUAGAGGGGGGUAGAAUUCCAGGUGUAGCGGUGAAAUGCGUAGAGAUCUGGAGGAAUACCGGUGGCGAAGGCGGCCCCCUGGACAAAGACUGACGCUCAGGUGCGAAAGCGUGGGGAGCAAACAGGAUUAGAUACCCUGGUAGUCCACGCCGUAAACGAUGUCUACUUGGAGGUUGUGCCCUUGAGGCGUGGCUUCCGGAGCUAACGCGUUAAGUAGACCGCCUGGGGAGUACGGCCGCAAGGUUAAAACUCAAAUGAAUUGACGGGGGCCCGCACAAGCGGUGGAGCAUGUGGUUUAAUUCGAUGCAACGCGAAGAACCUUACCUGGUCUUGACAUCCACGGAAGUUUUCAGAGAUGAGAAUGUGCCUUCGGGAACCGUGAGACAGGUGCUGCAUGGCUGUCGUCAGCUCGUGUUGUGAAAUGUUGGGUUAAGUCCCGCAACGAGCGCAACCCUUAUCCUUUGUUGCCAGCGGUCCGGCCGGGAACUCAAAGGAGACUGCCAGUGAUAAACUGGAGGAAGGUGGGGAUGACGUCAAGUCAUCAUGGCCCUUACGACCAGGGCUACACACGUGCUACAAUGGCGCAUACAAAGAGAAGCGACCUCGCGAGAGCAAGCGGACCUCAUAAAGUGCGUCGUAGUCCGGAUUGGAGUCUGCAACUCGACUCCAUGAAGUCGGAAUCGCUAGUAAUCGUGGAUCAGAAUGCCACGGUGAAUACGUUCCCGGGCCUUGUACACACCGCCCGUCACACCAUGGGAGUGGGUUGCAAAAGAAGUAGGUAGCUUAACCUUCGGGAGGGCGCUUACCACUUUGUGAUUCAUGACUGGGGUGAAGUCGUAACAAGGUAACCGUAGGGGAACCUGCGGUUGGAUCACCUCCUUACCUUAAAGAANNNNNNNNNNNNNNNNNNNNAGUGCUCACACAGAUUGUCUGAUGAAAA